This 84-nucleotide transfer RNA is filed under the name Brachybacterium sp. Its description in RNAcentral is "tRNA-Leu". It matches the Rfam family "tRNA". Rfam says of the family: Transfer RNA (tRNA) molecules are approximately 80 nucleotides in length. The record is from RNAcentral. Lineage: Bacteria; Bacillati; Actinomycetota; Actinomycetes; Micrococcales; Dermabacteraceae.
GCCGGGUUGGCGGAAUUGGUAGACGCGGCGCACUCAAAAUGCGCUGUCCGUGAGGACGUGCGGGUUCGAGUCCCGCACCCGGUA